Long non-coding RNA from Sorghum bicolor (sorghum), 1068 nucleotides. RefSeq lists it as uncharacterized. Lineage: Eukaryota; Viridiplantae; Streptophyta; Magnoliopsida; Poales; Poaceae. The record is from RefSeq and is a predicted model, not a curated record. The transcript is spliced from 3 exons.
UCCCCGGGAGGAUCCCGGCCUUUUUUCUGGGCCAGCCUCUCCCGUGCCAGUCUUCCCUGGGCCAAAAUCGUGCACCCUUUGGCAGCCCACCAAGACGAGAAUUGCAGCCCGUUUCCCAGCGAUUUCCACGAGGAAGAAAUACACGAUCCAUUCGACCGGGAAGGUUUCCCGAGCGCUCGCGUCUCUGCUCGCGAGGUCGCGAGGCUUCUUCCUCCGCUCGACGCUGCCGCCGCCGCCGCCACAGCAGUCGGCCGCCGCCUCCGCCUCUGCCUCGGCAUCCGACCGCCUCCGCCUCGGCAUCCGGCCGCCGCCUCCGCCCCGAGAUCCAGUCGUGCCAACGGGAACCCGCCUCCGCCACCUCCGCCGCCGUGACUUCCCUGGACAGCGCACCCGGCUCCGCUUCGCUCCAUCACCGUCGUUAUCGUCGAUCUUGGAGCUGUCGCUGCGACCUCGACACCCGGUUGCCUGAGUCUGAUCCGCUCUGAGCACGGCUUCAACACCACCUGCAUCACCAAGCUCUUCCCCACACGCUCGCACACUGUCGUGGCACAGGAAGGAACAAAAAUUUCAGAAGUGAGCCAGGAACGAACGUGUGUGGGUGUGGCGGACGGCCGAUAUGACCUAGCUAACAAUCGUUUAGGAGUUUGACCUACCAAUUACAUGCAUAUUUGCUAGCAAUGUUAUUUAAUUUUGGAGCUGUCCUUGUUUGCAUUUAAUCUGUGACUUUGUUUCGUUCUAGUGUGCGUUGUUUAAUUGGGUAGUUAAAUUAAUUUGCAUGUAUGCUUCAUCAUGAUAUACAAUAGAUUUGGUCCAUCGAUGACGACGGUAGUGUUGAUUUUGCUGUCAUGCAUACAUUGUUUAGUUUUUAUUUUCCUGGGAGCAGGUGACUAGGUAAGUAUCAUGCUUUGUAGUUAUCUAUGCAGGUUACGUAUAGAAGAGUUGAUAUCACAGUGCAUAGAAGAGUUGGAUUGUUUGAAAACAUAACUUCUGAAGUUCUGAUUAAUUGGGUGGCUUUGUGCAAGAAAAUUCAGAACAUGUGUUUAAUAAAUUUGUCUCGUGGAUUACUUA